RNAcentral lists this microRNA precursor (72 nucleotides) under Myotis lucifugus (little brown bat). RNAcentral describes it as "mir-9193 microRNA precursor family". It matches the Rfam family "mir-9193 microRNA precursor family". Lineage: Eukaryota; Metazoa; Chordata; Mammalia; Chiroptera; Vespertilionidae. The record is from Rfam by way of RNAcentral.
GAUGGGGGGGUGGUCUCUCAGCCCAGAUUGCAAGAGGGUGCAGGCCAGGCCGAGGGACCCCACUGGUGCAUG